CGCGCUACACAUACAAUCCAUUUCCAGGCCAUUUCUCAGCUUACGUGGCAUUAAAAAUAAUAAAAUAAUAAUAAUAAUAAAAGGUAAAAAAUUCUAGAAACUUAAAAAACCCAACAAAAUUGCUUUCCCCAAUUGGAAACCCACCACUCAUAGAAUACGUUUUGGCGAAAUCAAAAUCCACACCUUCAAAACCUCUACCCACACCUCACCAUCUCCGGAUGCAUGUAAAUCGGAAGUACGUCGUUCCUCCGACAGCACUUCCAGCUACUAUUUUUCGCCGUUUGAAGAUUUUGGAUCUCCGGACGCACCUCAGUCGACAUUCUUGCCUCUAGUCCGAGUACUCUUACAUCCAUGGUUUUGCUGCCUCAUGCUAAAGCAUCUCUGGUCUGUAGCUAAAUAGCACCAGAUUUAUUAACCUAGAGGAGUUAAAAUUUUGUCAUUUUUGUUGCAGAAUUUUAGCCUAGAUCGUUGAGAAUCAAUGUUUGCUUCUGAUAUAUAUAUAUUUUUUUCACAUGUAUCUUCGAUAUUUAUUUUAGCCUAGUUCAUUGAGAAUCAGUAUUUAUUUAGCCUAGUUCAUUGAGAAACAAUAUUUAUUUUCGAUUUUUUUCCCCACAAGUAUCUUCAAUAUUUAUUUUAGCCUAAUUCACUGAGAAUCAAUGUUUAGCCUAGUUCAUUGAAAAUAAAAUCCAUGAAUAUUAAU
This 700-nucleotide long non-coding RNA is filed under the name Olea europaea subsp. europaea. The record is from RNAcentral. Lineage: Eukaryota; Viridiplantae; Streptophyta; Magnoliopsida; Lamiales; Oleaceae.